GUCUACAUAGAUUAUGUUGAAAUCAUGAUGCUGUUAACUUCAAGAAGAGCUUAUGCUUUGUAGUCG
This 66-nucleotide transfer RNA is filed under the name Duplicibothrium sp. MZUSP 8039. RNAcentral describes it as "tRNA-Asn". Lineage: Eukaryota; Metazoa; Platyhelminthes; Cestoda; Tetraphyllidea; Serendipidae. The record is from RNAcentral.